This 468-nucleotide long non-coding RNA is filed under the name Vitis vinifera (wine grape). RNAcentral describes it as "long non-coding RNA (VVIN_LNC006803)". The record is from RNAcentral. Lineage: Eukaryota; Viridiplantae; Streptophyta; Magnoliopsida; Vitales; Vitaceae.
AAAAAACUCAAUUGAAAACUAGCCUGUGCUGUGGAGAGAGCUUUCCUAUGUGUGUUGGCAAUAUGUCAAUGAAGCAUCUUACUAUUGUAUCAGAGUGGUGCCGUACGUAGCCUUCAAGAGAUUGUAGCCUUCGAAAAUUUUAAGUCAUUGUAGCCCAUUGCAGUCCCAACUCCCCGAGUCCCCAUCGAAUAAAUAAAUAAAUAAAAUGAUUCCCUCUAAAACAGUAGACCGAAUACCCUCUGAAACACGGACUGAUUCUCUAUCCAAAACAAGGGAUCUUCCCAAUAAAUAAAAUCCUGACUCUCUCCAGAAAAAUCAUCCUAAAACCUCUUUAAUCUUUCUCAAUUAGGCUAGAAUCUUCCUCCACUCAGAAAUCCUUCAAAAAUCCUUCCUUCAUCAAGAUGGUAUCUCCAAAAAAAUCAUGCUAACUUCUCCUUCCAACAGCUCUCAAUCCCGACUAUUUUUUCU